CAGGUAGGACUACCCGCUGAG
This 21-nucleotide ribosomal RNA is filed under the name Thaxterogaster sp. H6585. RNAcentral's name for it is "partial 28S ribosomal RNA". Lineage: Eukaryota; Fungi; Basidiomycota; Agaricomycetes; Agaricales; Cortinariaceae. The record is from RNAcentral.